AAAGCACUGUUGUAUGGGAAGAAAUGCUAGAAUAGGGAAUGAUUCUAGUUCGACGGUACCAUACCAGAAAGGGACGGCUAAAUACGUGCCAGCAGCCGCGGUAAUACGUAUGUCCCGAGCGUUAUCCGGAUUUAUUGGGCGUAAAGCGAGCGCAGACGGUUGAUUAAGUCUGAUGUGAAAGCCCGGAGCUCAACUCCGGAAUGGCAUUGGAAACUGGUUAACUUGAGUGUUGUAGAGGUAAGUGGAACUCCAUGUGUAGCGGUGGAAUGCGUAGAUAUAUGGAAGAACACCAGUGGCGAAGGCGGCUUACUGGACAACAACUGACGUUGAGGCUCGAAAGUGUGGGUAGCAAACAGGAUAGAUA
Molecule: ribosomal RNA, 364 nt
Filed under: Leuconostoc lactis
Lineage: Bacteria; Bacillati; Bacillota; Bacilli; Lactobacillales; Lactobacillaceae
Description: bacterial SSU rRNA
Rfam family: Bacterial small subunit ribosomal RNA
Source: RNAcentral